Long non-coding RNA from Coffea eugenioides, 548 nucleotides. RefSeq lists it as uncharacterized. The record is from RefSeq and is a predicted model, not a curated record. NCBI's taxonomy places the organism in Eukaryota, Viridiplantae, Streptophyta, Magnoliopsida, Gentianales, Rubiaceae. The transcript is spliced from 2 exons.
UGCCCUCAACAGUCUUCAUAUCUUUGCCUACCCUUCUUGGGAGAAGAUAGAUAUAUAGAAUAUUAGGCACUAUCUAGCUAUCACAAAAAUGUCCAAGGUUAGCACCCUUUGCAUCGUAUCCCUUCUACUUUUUCUUACCCUAUCUUACGCGGUUGCCCGGCCGGUGGCUACAUUUCAGGACGUAACUCCGAUGGAAACUCAUCAUGGUCAUCGUGUGAAUGAUCAUGUUGAGAAGGUAGAUAAAGAGGAGAGUUGCGAAGGACUUGGAGAAGAUGAGUGCUUGAUGAGAAGAACACUGGAGGCUCAUCUCGACUAUAUAUACACGCAGGGGCAAAAGCAGCCCUGACGAUAUAGUAUAUAUCUUUGUUCUUACUCCCUCAUUUUUCUCAUGUCUUAUGCAUGAGCAUUUGUGCGUGUAUAUAUCAUAUAUGAUCCUUCUACACAUCAUAUAUAGUCUCGGUUGUUUGUGAUCAAUGCGAAUGUAUCUUGGGUAACCGAUAAACAUUUGUGCUAGAAAUAUAAUUCUAGCUCGUGAUUUGCCUUAAUUA